Non-coding RNA from Biomphalaria pfeifferi, 400 nucleotides. Lineage: Eukaryota; Metazoa; Mollusca; Gastropoda; Planorbidae. The record is from the annotation of a GenBank genome assembly.
AAAAGAUAUUCUUUGUUUAUUUAUGUCCAAAUGAUACACAUCUAUGUCCAAGAUAAAUGCAUUGUACAUAUGAAAACAUCUAGCCACUUGCAAUAUUGUCAACAUUGAAGUUCACAGAAAUAAAACAAUAGGAAUUUAUUUAAUGAUAUCUUAAUGUUCUUAAUGUUUCAACAGAUAAAAAAAAAUAACAAAUUUUCAGCUCAUUAAGGAGGUGUUAUAUUUGUGUAUAAUGUUCUAGUAGAUUUAAAAAGAAGUUCUUCAAAGAAUUGAGGGAUACAUUCAGGACAAGGUUUAGCUUUGACCACUAGAUAUUAAUACAUUUUGCCUAACUACAAAGUAAUCUCAUUUAGUGGAUAGCUAUCUACAGAGUAAUCUCAUUUAGUGGAUAGCUAUCUACAGA